Molecule: long non-coding RNA, 398 nt
Filed under: Cavia porcellus (domestic guinea pig)
Lineage: Eukaryota; Metazoa; Chordata; Mammalia; Rodentia; Caviidae
Description: lncRNA (ENSCPOG00000034724.1)
Source: RNAcentral
CUGAUGUCCCCGGCAUUGUAUUACAGUUUCCUCUGGGAAUUACAGACCUCUGCUCAUUGCCAGAGGCACUAAGCAUCUGUAGGAUGCACAAGGCACAAGUGUGGAAUAAACAAGAUUCCAGAGCUAGGAAAAGGGACUGUCAGGCACAGGGAGCUAGGAGGCUGACAGGGCCCUAACAGGACGUACCUACCAGAGAGACAAACUGGCCCCACCUGACCAGUCCUGGAACUAAAGCCAGUCCCAGAAGCAUGAAAGGUCUGGAUUUAGAGCAAAAAAAUGCAAAUGUGACUGUGGAGAAAAUACCAAAAGAAGUAUACCAUCCAUGCCCCCUGGGCUAUGCUGGGCAAGACUGGAGCAGAAAACUGGGCUAGAAGGGGAAACACCAUUAACCACAGGUA